GGGGCUAUAGCUCAGUUGGGAGAGCAUUUGUCUGGCAGACAAAGGGUCACGGGUUCGAGCCCCGUUAGCUCCACCA
This 76-nucleotide transfer RNA is filed under the name Candidatus Cloacimonadota bacterium. RNAcentral's name for it is "Candidatus Cloacimonetes bacterium (marine metagenome) tRNA-Ala". It matches the Rfam family "tRNA". From Rfam's summary of the family: Transfer RNA (tRNA) molecules are approximately 80 nucleotides in length. Lineage: Bacteria; Pseudomonadati; Candidatus Cloacimonadota. The record is from RNAcentral. RNAcentral also lists the same sequence under 1 other name.